CUUAGGCUGCUUUUUGAAAGGAGCGAGCAGUGGUUUUUCAGGGACGGAAAACACCUUAGUUGGUCUGAAGAAAACAGGACAGUUAAGUGACAAACAUCUGGAAGUAUUACUGAGGAAGCCUCGCUUUGUGGAAAAAUGAAGGAAAGUGUUCCAGUUUUUAAAUGACUUGGAUCUGCUCUCUGUUGAAAUUGUAUUUCUGGUUUGGGAACUUUCAGAGGGCCUUGAAAUCUGGGAUAUGA
This 239-nucleotide long non-coding RNA is filed under the name Balaenoptera musculus (blue whale). RNAcentral's name for it is "lncRNA (ENSBMSG00010006564.1)". Lineage: Eukaryota; Metazoa; Chordata; Mammalia; Artiodactyla; Balaenopteridae. The record is from RNAcentral.